This is a long non-coding RNA of Gasterosteus aculeatus aculeatus (three-spined stickleback), 1038 nucleotides long. Lineage: Eukaryota; Metazoa; Chordata; Actinopteri; Perciformes; Gasterosteidae. The record is from Ensembl.
GGGACGUGGGGGCUUCUUCAUCAAAGUGUCUCUGGGAAACGCUGCUGCUUCCGUCGUGGAUGGAAACCGGAGGAGGGCGCGACCUCAAAGAAGGUCGUUCCUGUACCGGCUGAUGCUCAUUCUGGAACGUGAGAGGGAGAUCUGAGAGCAGCCCCGACGAAGAGAAGCGGCUGGCAAACACGGAUGGGAGGAUUAUCUCGUAUUCAUGAAUGUAUUUCUGCACGCAGCAAAGACGGUGAACAUUCCAGAAGAAGAGCUUUGUAUCUCUUAAAUAUAAUAUUACUAAUACCUCCUUUCACUUUCAUCUCACUUAUUACCACCACGAAUACUUACGCCUGGCACUUUACAUAAAACUCAUCAUACACUUCUUACCUAAGUGCUGCUAUUCUUGGUCCCCAUCACUGUUCAUAUUGCACAACUAUUUCUUACUGUACAUGUCUAUUUAUUCACGUAUUACACUUUACAUAUGCACAUACUCUGCACUUGUUGCUAUUUUGCACUUCUGGUUGGACUUCUUAGCAGACUGCUCCUCCAUCUCUCACUGAAACAAAUAGUUAUUGAUUUAUUCAGUACACAAAGAAAGUGUAGACUGAAUAUCGUCUUCCUUCCAUCACGCUGUUUUCAAAUGUAGUUUUGUUAAUUGUACGACUACUUUUAUAAGUUGGGCUCUGUGAUUGAUGUUCACACCUUUAACUCCAGUUUGGAAAUAAAGUCUAUUUAUAUGAUAAACUAUGAACGAAUGAUGGACGCAGUCAUGGCUUUGUGCCGUUAGCUUACAUCUGCAUUGGCACUCCUCAAGAACGCAGUCACAAGUCACUGUUUUAUUACGCUUUCCGAACUGUCAGACUUUUAUUUUGAAGGCCGUUAUUCUGACAGAACCAGUUUCUCGUUGCAGAGUCGUCAAAUGACUUUUAUUCUUCAUGACCCGUCUCACUCUGAACGUCCUGUGUGUCCUUACUGGUCCUUCUCUCCGUGAGACGAGUAAAUCACACCCAAAGGGCUCAACACGUGCACACACACGCAAACACGUGCACACAC